This 445-nucleotide ribosomal RNA is filed under the name uncultured bacterium. Its description in RNAcentral is "partial 16S ribosomal RNA". It matches the Rfam family "Bacterial small subunit ribosomal RNA", at positions 354 to 796 of the family's 1533-position model. The record is from RNAcentral.
GUGAGGAAUAUUGGUCAAUGGGCGGGAGCCUGAACCAGCCAAGUCGCGUGAAGGAAGAAGGAUCUAUGGUUCGUAAACUUCUUUUGCAGGGGAAUAAAGUGCAGGACGUGUCCUGUUUUGUAUGUACCCUGAGAAUAAGGAUCGGCUAACUCCGUGCCAGCAGCCGCGGUAAUACGGAGGAUCCGAGCGUUAUCCGGAUUUAUUGGGUUUAAAGGGUGCGUAGGUGGUUUGAUAAGUCAGCGGUGAAAGUUUGCAGCUUAACUGUAAAAAUGCCGUUGAAGCUGUCGGACUUGAGUGUAAAUGAGGUAGGCGGAAUGCGUGGUGUAGCGGUGAAAUGCAUAGAUAUCACGCAGAACUCCGAUUGCGAAGGCAGCUUACUAAGCUACAACUGACACUGAAGCACGAAAGCGUGGGGAUCAAACAGGAUUAGAAACCCUGGUAGUCC